RNAcentral lists this ribosomal RNA (730 nucleotides) under uncultured bacterium. Its description in RNAcentral is "bacterial SSU rRNA". It matches the Rfam family "Bacterial small subunit ribosomal RNA", at positions 8 to 726 of the family's 1533-position model. The record is from RNAcentral.
AGAGUUUGAUCCUGGCUCAGGAUGAACGCUAGCGACAGGCUUAACACAUGCAAGUCGAGGGGCAGCGGGUAGAUGAGCUUGCUCAUUUAUGCCGGCGACCGGCGCACGGGUGAGUAACACGUAUGGAACCUGCCCGCAGCAGGGGGAUAAGCGGAAGAAAUUCCGUCUAAUACCGCGUAACAACGUUGGGAGGCAUCUCCCGAUGUUUAAAGAUUUAUCGGCUGCGGAUGGCCAUGCGGCGCAUUAGCUAGUCGGCGGGGUAACGGCCCACCGAGGCGACGAUGCGUAGGGGUUCUGAGAGGAAGGUCCCCCACACUGGUACUGAGACACGGACCAGACUCCUACGGGAGGCAGCAGUGAGGAAUAUUGGUCAAUGGCCGAGAGGCUGAACCAGCCAAGUCGCGUGAGGGAAGACGGCCCUACGGGUUGUAAACCUCUUUUGUCGGGGAACAAAGGGCGCCACGUGUGGCGUUGUGAGUGUACCCGAAGAAAAAGCAUCGGCUAACUCCGUGCCAGCAGCCGCAGUAAUACGGAGGAUGCGAGCGUUAUCCGGGUUUAUUGGGUUUAAAGGGUGCGUAGGCGGUCCGGAAAGUCAGCGGUAAAAGCCCGGGGCUCAACCCCGGCGAGCCGUUGAAACUGUCGGACUAGAGACGGCGAGAAGUACGCGGAAUGCGCGGUGUAGCGGUGAAAUGCAUAGAUAUCGCGCAGAACUCCGAUUGCGAAGGCAGCA